Molecule: ribosomal RNA, 374 nt
Filed under: uncultured bacterium
Lineage: Bacteria
Description: bacterial SSU rRNA
Rfam family: Bacterial small subunit ribosomal RNA
Source: RNAcentral
UAAGACGAACCGUGCGAACGUUGUUCGGAAUCACUGGGCUUAAAGGGCGCGUAGGCGGGCGAUCAAGUCAGGGGUGAAAUCCGUCGGCUUAACCGGCGAAGAGCUUUUGAUACUGGUCGUCUCGAGGGAGGUAGGGGCAUACGGAACUUCCGGUGGAGCGGUGAAAUGCGUAGAGAUCGGAAGGAACGCCGGUGGCGAAAGCGGUGUGCUGGACCUCUUCUGACGCUGAGGCGCGAAAGCCAGGGGAGCAAACGGGAUUAGAUACCCCGGUAGUCCUGGCCCUAAACGAUGGGUACUAGGUUGUAGACUGCAUGGGUUUACAGCCGGAGCAAAAGUGUUAAGUACCCCGCCUGGGGAGUAUGGUCGCAAGGCUG